This 539-nucleotide ribosomal RNA is filed under the name uncultured bacterium. RNAcentral's name for it is "bacterial SSU rRNA". It matches the Rfam family "Bacterial small subunit ribosomal RNA", at positions 356 to 896 of the family's 1533-position model. The record is from RNAcentral.
GAGGAAUAUUGGUCAAUGGACGAGAGUCUGAACCAGCCAAGUAGCGUGCAGGAUGACGGCCCUAUGGGUUGUAAACUGCUUUUGUAUGGGGAUAAAGUCAAUCACGUGUCCUUGUUUGCAGGUACCAUACGAAUAAGGACCGGCUAAUUCCGUGCCAGCAGCCGCGGUAAUACGGAAGGUCCGGGCGUUAUCCGGAUUUAUUGGGUUUAAAGGGAGCGUAGGCUGGAGAUUAAGUGUGUUGUGAAAUGUAGACGCUCAACGUCUGACUUGCAGCGCAUACUGGUUUCCUUGAGUACGCACAACGUUGGCGGAAUUCGUCGUGUAGCGGUGAAAUGCUUAGAUAUGACGAAGAACUCCGAUUGCGAAGGCAGCUGACGGGAGCGCAACUGACGCUUAAGCUCGAAGGUGCGGGUAUCAAACAGGAUUAGAUACCCUGGUAGUCCGCACAGUAAACGAUGGAUGCCCGCUGUUGGUACCUGGUAUCAGCGGCUAAGCGAAAGCAUUAAGCAUCCCACCUGGGGAGUACGCCGGCAACGGUG